ACUCCUACGGGAGGCAGCAGUGGGGAAUUUUGGACAAUGGACGCAAGUCUGAUCCAGCCAUUCCGCGUGCAGGAUGAAGGCCCUCGGGUUGUAAACUGCUUUUGUACGGAACGAAAAGGUCUCUAUUAAUACUAGGGGCUCAUGACGGUACCGUAAGAAUAAGCACCGGCUAACUACGUGCCAGCAGCCGCGGUAAUAC
This 199-nucleotide ribosomal RNA is filed under the name uncultured bacterium. RNAcentral's name for it is "partial 16S ribosomal RNA". It matches the Rfam family "Bacterial small subunit ribosomal RNA", at positions 335 to 526 of the family's 1533-position model. The record is from RNAcentral.